UUUCUCCUGAUUUUUAGCAUUUUU
Molecule: microRNA, 24 nt
Filed under: Gossypium raimondii (Peruvian cotton)
Lineage: Eukaryota; Viridiplantae; Streptophyta; Magnoliopsida; Malvales; Malvaceae
Description: gra-miR7504m
Source: miRBase by way of RNAcentral